GAUGAACGCUGGCGGCGUGCCUAAUACAUGCAAGUCGAGCGAACAGACGAGGAGCUUGCUCCUCUGACGUUAGCGGCGGACGGGUGAGUAACACGUGGAUAACCUACCUAUAAGACUGGGAUAACUUCGGGAAACCGGAGCUAAUACCGGAUAAGAUAUUGAACCGCAUGGUUCAAUAGUGAAAGACGGUUUUGCUGUCACUUAUAGAUGGAUCCGCGCCGCAUUAGCUAGUUGGUAAGGUAACGGCUUACCAAGGCAACGAUGCGUAGCCGACCUGAGAGGGUGAUCGGCCACACUGGAGCUGAGACACGGUCCAGACUCCUACGGGAGGCAGCAGUAGGGAAUCUUCCGCAAUGGGCGAAAGCCUGACGGAGCAACGCCGCGUGAGUGAUGAAGGUCUUCGGAUCGUAAAACUCUGUUAUUAGGGAAGAACAAAUGUGUAAGUAACUAUGCACGUCUUGACGGUACCUAAUCAGAAAGCCACGGCUAACUACGUG
This 497-nucleotide ribosomal RNA is filed under the name uncultured bacterium. RNAcentral describes it as "partial 16S ribosomal RNA". It matches the Rfam family "Bacterial small subunit ribosomal RNA", at positions 28 to 507 of the family's 1533-position model. The record is from RNAcentral.